CCCUUAGAUGUUCUGGGCUGCACGCGCGCUACACUGAUACUUUCAGCGAGUCCACCACCUUGCCUGAGAGGGUGGGGUAACCUCUGGAAAGUGUAUCGUGAUGGGGAUCGAUUAUUGUAAUUAUUAAUCUUCAACGAGGAAUUCCUAGUAAGCAUGUGUCAUCAGCCCGUGCUGAUUACGUCCCUGCCCUUUGUACACACCGCCCGUCGCUCCUACCGAUUGAUUGAUCCGGUGAAUUACAUAGAAUUUUGCGUUUUACAUGACGGAAGAUGAAGUGUUUUAAACCUUAUCAUUUAGAGGAAGGAGAAGUCGUAACA
RNAcentral lists this ribosomal RNA (317 nucleotides) under uncultured eukaryote. Its description in RNAcentral is "partial 18S ribosomal RNA". It matches the Rfam family "Eukaryotic small subunit ribosomal RNA", at positions 1470 to 1796 of the family's 1831-position model. The record is from RNAcentral.